UGGCAGGUACAGCGGGAAGCCACCUGGCGACAGGGAGCGGAACCCGAAAGCCUGUCUCAGUUCGGAUUGGAGUCUGCAACCCGACUCCAUGAAGCCGGAUUCGCUAGUAAUCGCGCAUCAGCCACGGCGCGGUGAAUACGUUCCCGGGCCUUGUACACAUCGCCCGUCAAGCCAUGGAAGCCGGGGGUGCCUGAAGUGCGCUGCCGCAAGGAGCGCCCUAGGGUAAAACCGGUGACUGGGGCUAAGUCGUAACAAGGUACC
RNAcentral lists this ribosomal RNA (261 nucleotides) under uncultured bacterium. Its description in RNAcentral is "partial 16S ribosomal RNA". It matches the Rfam family "Bacterial small subunit ribosomal RNA", at positions 1231 to 1500 of the family's 1533-position model. The record is from RNAcentral.